RNAcentral lists this long non-coding RNA (231 nucleotides) under Elaeis guineensis (African oil palm). RNAcentral's name for it is "long non-coding RNA (EGUI_LNC016512)". Lineage: Eukaryota; Viridiplantae; Streptophyta; Magnoliopsida; Arecales; Arecaceae. The record is from RNAcentral.
AGCACGGUGGUCGGGCGGAGCUAGAGGCAAUCAAUCAUCGACAGCACGGUGGUCGAGCAGAGAUGGAGGUGGUCGAUAGUGCAGUGAUCGGGUGGAGCGAAAGGAGGGCGGUCGGGUGGAGAUUCGAUAGGGCAGAGCCCUCUCAGAUUUUUAAUUUUUCUUUUAAAUGGGUUAUUGGAUUGGUUCGGUUAUUUUUUUUUAAUGAAUUAUUAUAAAUAGAUUGUAAACGGG